CUAUGAAUCUACUAUACUUAACCCUCCGUUUAAUGAUCAAAGGAAACAAAGAUCGCCCUCAAGGCAAGCAUGACUCAACCUCAAAAUGAUGAGGACUCUAACAACGGAGAUAACGAGUUCGGACUCGUUAUUAAGAGGUUUCAAAAGUUCAUGCGAAAAGAGUAUGAACGAAAAGGCAAACAACAAGGAGAUCAAGUAANN
RNAcentral lists this long non-coding RNA (201 nucleotides) under Nicotiana benthamiana. Its description in RNAcentral is "long non-coding RNA (NBEN_LNC018002)". The record is from RNAcentral. Lineage: Eukaryota; Viridiplantae; Streptophyta; Magnoliopsida; Solanales; Solanaceae.